Molecule: long non-coding RNA, 786 nt
Organism: Dunckerocampus dactyliophorus (ringed pipefish)
Lineage: Eukaryota; Metazoa; Chordata; Actinopteri; Syngnathiformes; Syngnathidae
Exons: 4
Source: RefSeq, a predicted model, not a curated record
GCUCCCUUUUUUAAGAAGUGCUAUACAUCCGGCAGCCAACACUAGCUUUGUGAUAUCCAAAAUCACAAAAAACAGGAAGUAAUUUGCAUAUCCACCUUGGAUAUUCAGCCUGACUUUGAUGUACAAAACAACAAAGAAACAGCAAAUGAGUUGGUUAGUCUACAAACUGUAUGAAGUUGAUUUCAUGCUACGACGUCUGUUCUGUGGAGCGUUUGGGUGCUCAGGAUUGGUGGGACACUGACAUGAGUCGCUUCACUGACACAGAUUUUCAAAAUCAUUUUUGCAUAUCAAGAACUGUUGCCUACAUCUGAGACUGACCCCUAUUCGUGAAGCAUGGUGCCUGCAGGACACCAGAGGAGACAACCGGCAUCUUCAGUGAGAACGGAAGCGGCACUUGCCUUCAUGCUCCAGCGCUUUCUGCACGCUUGGGAAGAUGGCAGCAAGAGGGGACGGUGUAGGCUUACUGGCCAAAACAGCUUUUUCAACUCACGCAAAUGAAAAAGUCAAAGACAUCAAGGAACUGGCUAAAUAUUGAUGACGACAUUAUCUCAACUACAAGGAAAUAAAAGACAACUUUUGACGCAGCUUGAAGUCAACAACAAUCAACAGAAACAACUCCACAAUAAAGAGACGAUAUUCAACAAUAUUGAUCAUCACCAAUAAACAGUUGCUCAAUUUAUAUCCAAAUAUCCUUUACUUGUCACUUACAUAGAGGUACAAGCAAAAUUGUGCAAUCACCCGUCCAUACAUAUAGAACAUACCACACAACAUGACGGGGGCAGACAA